Molecule: ribosomal RNA, 718 nt
Filed under: uncultured bacterium
Lineage: Bacteria
Description: bacterial SSU rRNA
Rfam family: Bacterial small subunit ribosomal RNA
Source: RNAcentral
UGCAAGUCGAACGGAGGUUCGCCACGCGGNAUCUCUUCGGAANAGAAGCGUGGCCAUACCUCAGUGGCGAACGGGUGAGUAACACGUGGGUAACCUGCCUGUAAGUCGGGGAUAACUGCGGGAAACCGCAGCUAAUACCGGAUAAGUCGGGAGGUUCGCAUGAACCUUUCGGUAAAGGAGCUACGGUUCCGCUUACAGAUGGGCCCGCGGCGCAUUAGCUAGUUGGUGGGGUAACGGCCUACCAAGGCGACGAUGCGUAGCCGACCUGAGAGGGUGACCGGCCACACUGGGACUGAGACACGGCCCAGACUCCUACGGGAGGCAGCAGUAGGGAAUCUUCCGCAAUGGGCGAAAGCCUGACGGAGCAACGCCGCGUGAGCGAGGAAGGUCUUCGGAUCGUAAAGCUCUGUUGCCAGGGAAGAAAAGGCGCUUGUUGACUGCAGGCGCAUUGACGGUACCUGAGACAGAAAGCCCCGGCUAACUACGUGCCAGCAGCCGCGGUAAUACGUAGGGGGCAAGCGUUGUCCGGAAUUAUUGGGCGUAAAGCGCGCGUAGGCGGCCCUUUAAGUCUCGUGUUUAAACCCGGAGCUCAACUUCGGGUCGCACGGGAAACUGGGGGGCUUGAGUGCAGGAGAGGGAAGCGGAAUUCCACGUGUAGCGGUGAAAUGCGUAGAGAUGUGGAGGAACACCAGUGGCGAAGGCGGCUUCCUGGUCUGUA